AUGACGACGCAUUCUCUUCCUUUUUUAGAGAACAGUCCUAGUCAAAAACUCCAGGUGGGAAAUGGAGUAAACAACAUUUUUGUGACACAGUCGCAGGACACCAGAAGGGAAGAAGAUGCCAAUCACAUACCAGUUUUAAAAGUGCCUUCGAGCAGAGUCUUGGAGGCAGGAGUGACUACUUUGCAAAAGACCCUGGUUCUGGAGAAACAGGCAGAGCUGGAUGAGGUGGAGAAGCGACUUGCCCUUAAACGGCUGGAUUUUAAAGCCUGCAUGGAGGCCCUAGCUCGGCGAAGGUCUGAACUUGAAAUAAAACUACAAGAGACUAAAGAAAAAGUAGUGAAAUUUGAGAAGUUCAUAGCUGAGAAUGAAGCAAAGCGACGCAGAGCGUUAAAGAGCUGUGAAGCUUCACGGGCGCAAAACAUUUUUAAAAAGCAGCAGAUAAAAGAUUUGACAGAACAGCUUAAAGGAUUCAGAGACAGGAGCCACGUUUUAAAGGAGAGAGUGGCAAAAUACAAAAUCUAUGAGGAUUAUUUGAUAAAAACACGAGAUUAUCUCCCCAGCAAUUACCUCGAUGACGGGUCUGAAUCUUUAGUCAUGCCUAUCAUUCGGCGUCAUGAGACCUUAUCCAUCACACACCAGGAGCUGCUGCAGCGUUUGCAACGUAUGGAGGUGGAGGUGGAGGAAGGCCAGCGACAGCUGCAGAAUAUGAAGAAGGAACACAGCGUAAAGAAACUGAUGGCCAAUAAAGAGCUGUCCGAACUGCAGAGUGAGUUAGAGACCCUCAAAGAGAAGAACAAGCAGGCAGAGUUUAACUUGCAGAUGGAGCAAGACUUAUCCAGAGAGAAGGUUACAGAAGUGGGAAGACUGCUUAUGGCCAUCAGCAACCUUGCAGAACAGUGUUACUUACCAGAAUACGGACCGCUGGAAAAGAUGAACGCGCUGACAAUGAUGAACAUGGUGAAGGAGUACAUUCUGGACAAGGCAGACACGGAGAGGAGAGCGAGGAGGAUGAUGGAGUUGGGGAGUUUGAUGACAAGCACAACCGCCGUGGCAAACAAAAGAGAGAGGGGGUCAAUGAGAAGCUUUGGAAGUAAAACACAAAUCAAAAGUUCAAGUAAAGUCAGCAGAAGGAGUGAGACAUUUGGUUGA
Molecule: long non-coding RNA, 1149 nt
Filed under: Oreochromis niloticus (Nile tilapia)
Lineage: Eukaryota; Metazoa; Chordata; Actinopteri; Cichliformes; Cichlidae
Description: lncRNA (ENSONIG00000028781.1)
Source: RNAcentral